CCAGCCACCUCAUCCCCAUCCCAUGGCCCAGCCCGCCUCUGGCCUGGCGCCAAACUGCCCCGUGAGCCGGCCACAGGGGAUGACACCUUAGGGAGCGCAGCCGCCUAAUGCCAGGAAUGAACAGGCCUGGCAAGAGAUAGUGGGAGCCCUGUUCCAUCCUUCUGUUGUAGGCACAGUUUUUGGGUGGGGACGGUGGCACCCUCCCUGAACACAGGAGCUGUGGCCUGGCUACAGCGGGCGAGGCAAGGAGUCUUAUUCGCUCCCCCACAUGCAUCUCCUUCAUGCAUUCAUACACAGUUCAUUCAAAAUAAUUAUUUCUAGCUCCCCUGCUGCUGUGUGAAAUGCCCAGGCUGCCAGAGGGAAUUGAUUAUAGACACAAAUUGCUUUCACAUGCGGAAAGUAAACAAAUGGAAAAGACUCCUAGACCAGCAGAAGGGCCACUGAGGAUUGCCAGAGAGGUGAGGGACGCUGCUGGAGAGAUGGUUGAGCAGCUUCUACAGAUGAAGGAAGAGAUCUAUGUAUGAAGGCAUAUGUAUGAACAGGGUAUACAAUCUCCUCUCCCUCUUUAUAUUGGGAGUCAUCAGUCCUUUUUCGGAUCUUCCUUGAUAGAAAUCCAGUGCAGAGAAGUGAAGCAGGAAAUGACUUCCUGCCAACUCUCCUGAGGCUGCAGCCUGCAGGUAAGACUCCCUGAUCUCCUGCUCCCCCCAUAACCCUCUCUGCAGACAGACUGUCCCCCCCCAAUUUGCCACCCCCUGUGUGGAGGGGAGGUGCCAGACCCAGUGCUAGACUGCCAGACCCAGUGCUAGACUGCCCAACCCUAUGGCCCCGUGUCACUGGGGGCCCCUGUGCUAGGCUAUGGUAUGUUUCAUUAUGUUUCAUUGUAAAUCUACCCGAGCGGAACUGAAAAUAUCUAAAGAAAGAUGGCAGAGCUAUUAAAUACCAAUGGAGUUAUA
Molecule: non-coding RNA, 953 nt
Organism: Pelodiscus sinensis (Chinese soft-shelled turtle)
Lineage: Eukaryota; Metazoa; Chordata; Testudines; Trionychidae
Source: RefSeq, a predicted model, not a curated record